ACGACCAUACCCACUGAAAUAUACGGGAUCCCGUCCGCUCUCCCCUAGUCAAACCAGUGAGGGCUGGCUUGAUACCAGAGAGAGAUUGGAUCCCAAACAGCUGGCCAAUGGU
Gaeumannomyces tritici R3-111a-1 is the source of this 112-nucleotide ribosomal RNA. Lineage: Eukaryota; Fungi; Ascomycota; Sordariomycetes; Magnaporthales; Magnaporthaceae. The record is from RefSeq and is a predicted model, not a curated record.